Long non-coding RNA from Lolium perenne, 2384 nucleotides. RefSeq lists it as uncharacterized. NCBI's taxonomy places the organism in Eukaryota, Viridiplantae, Streptophyta, Magnoliopsida, Poales, Poaceae. The record is from RefSeq and is a predicted model, not a curated record.
GCUUAAUCUGCUCCCAUCCCCACGAAGUCCUAUAACUGUAAUCUCGAUAACGAGAUCUCCCCUAGUGUUAGUUCGAUCUACCAGCCUCCUCCUCACCGCCUCCCGCCGCGACACCCCCGGCCCUCCUCCCUCAGUGUCGUCUCCAAUGUCCCCAUCCAUACGCAUCUCCAUCUUGGCCACCCUCGUCAGCGCGUCGAGGGGAUGCCGAUGGUUUUCGUCGGAGGAUUCAUGGGCGGCGGAUCGAUCCGUCUCUAACCGCUGGUGCAGAUCCUGGUGAAAGUGGAUCCGUUCUACUCCAUGCCAGCAUCGGGGCUCGAGCGAACCAGACGCCCACCGGAUGCCCAACACCCAGCCGCCACCGCAGCUGUCAAUCGCCUUCACCAGGCGACGCUCCCGUCCCACGGCUGUUGCUUGACUUGCUUCACUGUUUAAGACGAACGGGUUAGUCCUCUCUCAUGGUGUCUCCCUAAUCUGCAGGACAUGAUGUAAUACGUAGUAGGCUGGGCGUGUUGGAUUGCUACGCUGCUAGUCGAGAUUUGAACAGGAAUCAAGUAAUCACUAAUCAGUUUUUUCUUAUCAGAUCGUCGGAUUAGUAGUGGUUUUCAGUCUGAAGUAGCACUAGUGAUUUGUCUUGACUUAAGAAACACACGAUAUGUCCACGAUGUUACAAUAUGUUUAGAAAAAAACAUUUGCUAACCUAAUUGCUACUGGUUUCGACAUGUGAAACCACUCGAGCAGGUAUGAUUCUCUUUUCUACUAUGAUACUGCAGCCAAUUGACUCGUUCUGUGUCCUGCAGCAAGAAUGAAAAAUUUGGUCUACUCCCCUUAUGUGUACCAGACGAAAUGAACAUCACGCGUUGGAGAUUUGGAUCUGGCGCUAACUAUGAGGAAACAUGAAAUUAUAUGAUUUUGUGUGGCGUGCGAAUUUUGUGCCUAUGUGGUUCAAGUUACCAAUUCAUUGCUGCUUUUCGCUAAUCUCUUAUAUAUAUUAAGCAUUUCCUCUCAGAUUUCUUGUUCUUGAAUCUUCAUAAUUCAAGAAGGAAGCAAUUGUAAUUAGGGGACAUGUGGGAAGGACUAGAGGUUUCUACUAUCUCAGAUCGAUUCAAUAUUGUACCCAUUUAAAGAAAUUUAGUACCAUAUGUGUGCAGAUUGCAGGUUUCUUAGUUCGCUAUAAUAAUGAUGUGUGCAGGUUGCAGGUUUCCUAGUAAGCAUGAUUUAAUUGGAAAAAUAAAGUUACAUAAGAAUUGCUAUCUCCUGCUUUCGGCGGCUUGUACAGAUAUCUUAAGUUUAUGAUAGAAACUUAUUUGCCAAUUCAUAUCCUGUCAUAUAUGCAGACGGUAAGUGUUAAAUACCCUGUCAUAUAUGCAGCUUGUAUGUUACCCUUUACUUACUUUGAAGGAGAGAAUGAAAAUAUUUAUUUAUUUACCCUUCGUAUACUCACAUGGCUUCCUUGCACAGAGUUCAUGUGUGCUGACGACCGGCAUGUGCCGACGGUUAGCUCCGCUGCCGGUCGACGAGGACCUCUGUGCCGACGUCCCCGACAUUUGGCCGUCGACACAUCGCCUGGCCGUCGGCACACAUGAACUCUCCCGUGGUGAGGUGGGCAGCCCACGAGCAAGUGAAGCAUUAUUUGUCGCUAGAUCCUAAUAUGUAUGACUCUUUUAUCUAUUGCACAUUUUGGUGUGUAUAUGAUCAAGCAGUUUACUACAAGGUUGAUAUUUUGCUUCUGAAGUGCUUGAUCUUUUGCUUAUAUUAUUUUCUAAAAUUUCUGUAGCUGAUUUUAGUAACAUGAAUUCAGUCCAUUGCAACCUAAUUUCUGCAUCAUAGAUGAGAAAUGAUAUUGCAGUUUUGCUUGCGAUAUUAUGCUUUCAUCUAGUAUUUACUAAAAAAAACUAUCAUUUCUUAAGAAUAACAUGAAGCAUGUUAUCGUUAUAUGUUCCUUUUAUUAUGGCAGGACAAGUAGUAACUAACAUCCGAGCAACAUGUGAUGUGUCCCUGUUACAUUAUUUUCAUAUGCUCAUAUUGGUGCACCUCGACUCUCCUUCUGUAUUUCCAUGUGUGGUACCGACUUGACAUCUAGGUGCCAUGGGCUGUUCUAAAUGCACGGGAUAGCACAAAUUAUCUUGCAUGACUUGGCUUUGGCAUGCUACUGAGGUGUUUUCAAAGAAAUUCCAAGCAAUAUGUGGAUGCGAAUUUAAAGGCCCAAAAGAUCAGCAAGAACUGCAACAUUCAAAUGCUACAUUAGAAGGAACAGGACUAGAAGGAAUAUAUAUAGGAUUAGAUAGAAUAUAAUAGUAUGAUGCAAAAUUAUAAGAUGUGUACUGUAAAUAUAUUUUUCGUGUAUGGAUGAUGAUUUUAAUUAUAAAUAUUGAAAUGUUUCUUCA